GUAGGGUGGCAAGCGUUGUCCGGAAUUAUUGGGCGUAAAGCGCGCGCAGGCGGUCCUUUAAGUCUGAUGUGAAAGCCCACGGCUCAACCGUGGAGGGUCAUUGGAAACUGGGGGACUUGAGUACAGAAGAGGAAAGCGGAAUUCCAAGUGUAGCGGUGAAAUGCGUAGAGAUUUGGAGGAACACCAGUGGCGAAGGCGGCUUUCUGGUCUGUAACUGACGCUGAGGCGCGAAAGCGUGGGGAGCAAACAGGAUUAGAUACCCUGGUAGUCCACGCCGUAAACGAUGAGUGCUAAGUGUUAGGGGGUUUCCGCCCCUUAGUGCUGCAGCUAACGCAUUAAGCACUCCGCCUGGGGAGUACGGCCGCAAGGCCG
Molecule: ribosomal RNA, 372 nt
Filed under: uncultured organism
Description: partial 16S ribosomal RNA
Rfam family: Bacterial small subunit ribosomal RNA
Source: RNAcentral